RNAcentral lists this ribosomal RNA (484 nucleotides) under uncultured bacterium. RNAcentral describes it as "partial 16S ribosomal RNA". It matches the Rfam family "Bacterial small subunit ribosomal RNA", at positions 28 to 523 of the family's 1533-position model. The record is from RNAcentral.
GACGAACGCUGGCGGCGUGCUUAACACAUGCAAGUCGAACGAUGAAGCUGGAGCUUGCUCCGGUGGAUUAGUGGCGAACGGGUGAGUAACACGUGAGAAAUCUGCCCUUCACUCUGGGAUAACUGCGGGAAACUGUAGCUAAUACCGGAUACUUUCCCUGGUGGGCAUCCACUAGGGAAGAAAGAAUUUCGGUGAAGGAUGAUCCCGCGGCCUAUCAGCUAGUUGGUGAGGUAAUGGCUCACCAAGGCGACGACGGGUAGCCGGCCUGAGAGGGUGACCGGCCACACUGGGACUGAGACACGGCCCAGACUCCUACGGGAGGCAGCAGUGGGGAAUAUUGCACAAUGGGCGAAAGCCUGAUGCAGCAACGCCGCGUGAGGGAUGAAGGCCUUCGGGUUGUAAACCUCUUUUAGCAGGGAAGAAGCGAAAGUGACGGUACCUGCAGAAAAAGCACCGGCUAACUACGUGCCAGCCGCCGCCGUAA